This 951-nucleotide ribosomal RNA is filed under the name uncultured Acidobacteriota bacterium. RNAcentral's name for it is "bacterial SSU rRNA". It matches the Rfam family "Bacterial small subunit ribosomal RNA", at positions 58 to 1010 of the family's 1533-position model. Lineage: Bacteria; Pseudomonadati; Acidobacteriota. The record is from RNAcentral.
CAAGUCGAGUGCGCGUCCGUAGCAAUACGGAUGGCGCACGGCGCACGGGUGAGUAACACGUGGGCAAUCUGCCCUUCGAUGGGGAAUAACUCCGGGAAACCGAAGCUAAUUCCGCAUAACAUUCCUUGGACUUCGGUUCGAGGACUCAAAGCCGUAAGGCGUCGAAGGAGGAGCCCGCGCCCGAUUAGCUAGUUGGUGAGGUAACGGCUCACCAAGGCUAUGAUCGGUAGCUGGUCUGAGAGGAUGGCCAGCCACACUGGAACUGAGACACGGUCCAGACUCCUACGGGAGGCAGCAGUGGGGAAUCUUGCACAAUGGGCGAAAGCCUGAUGCAGCGACGCCGCGUGGGGGAUGAAGCAUCUCGGUGUGUAAACCCCUUUCGACCCGGAAGAAUGCCUCGCAAGAGGACUGACGGUACGGGUAUAAGAAGCCCCGGCUAACUACGUGCCAGCAGCCGCGGUAAGACGUAGGGGGCCAGCGUUGUUCGGAAUUACUGGGUGUAAAGGGUUCGUAGGCGGUGUGGCAAGUCGGGAGUGAAAUCUCUGGGCUCAACCCAGAGGCUGCUUCCGAAACUGCCGUGCUUGAGUGUGGGAGAGGCGCGUGGAAUUGCAGGUGUAGCGGUGAAAUGCGUAGAUAUCUGCAGGAACACCCGUGGCGAAAGCGGCGCGCUGGACCACUACUGACGCUGAGGAACGAAAGCUAGGGGAGCAAACAGGAUUAGAUACCCUGGUAGUCCUAGCCCUAAACGAUCAGGACUUGGGGUGCCACCCGUUCGGGUGUCGUCCCGGAGCUAACGCGUUAAGUCCUGCACCUGGGGAGUACGGUCGCAAGACUGAAACUCAAAGGAAUUGACGGGGGCCCGCACAAGCGGUGGAACAUGUGGUUCAAUUCGACGCUACGCGAGGAACCUUACCUGGGCUCGAAAUGCUGGUGACCAGCUGUAGAAAUACG